UUGGAUUUCUGGCGGGAGCGGGUGGUCCGGCACUUUGUGUUGGUACUUUCCUGUCUCUUGCCAUCCUUGGGUCUAAGCUGUCUGGCAUUUAGUUGUCGGGCAGUGGCUGCCCAUCGUUUACUGUGAAAAAAUUAGAGUGUUCAAAGCAGGCUUAUGCCGUUGAAUAUAUUAGCAUGGAAUAAUAAGAUAGGACCUUGGUACUAUUUUGUUGGUUUGCGCACCGAGGUAAUGAUUAAGAGGGACAGUUGGGGGUAUUCGUAUUCAAUUGUCAGAGGUGAAAUUCUUGGAUUUCUGGAAGACGAACUACUGCGAAAGCAUUUACCAAGGAUGUUUUCAUUAAUCAAGAACGAAAGUUAGGGGAUCGAAGAUGAUUAGAUACCAUCGUAGUCUUAACCAUAAACUAUGCCGACUAGGGAUUUGUGGGUGUUAUUUUUGACCCC
Molecule: ribosomal RNA, 440 nt
Filed under: Attheya sp. RCC5572
Lineage: Eukaryota; Bacillariophyta; Biddulphiophyceae; Attheyales; Attheyaceae
Description: SSU rRNA
Rfam family: Eukaryotic small subunit ribosomal RNA
Source: RNAcentral